This 250-nucleotide ribosomal RNA is filed under the name uncultured prokaryote. Its description in RNAcentral is "partial 16S ribosomal RNA". It matches the Rfam family "Bacterial small subunit ribosomal RNA", at positions 524 to 771 of the family's 1533-position model. The record is from RNAcentral.
UACAGAGGCCCCUAGCGUUGUUCGGAUUUACUGGGCGUAAAGGGUGCGUAGGCGGUCAGGCGUGUCGAGUGUGAAAUCUCCGGGCUCAACCCGGAAAGUGCGCUCGAAACUACCUUAGACUAGAGUAUGGGAGAGGGGAUCGGAAUGCAGGGUGUAGCGGUGAAAUGCGUUGAUAUCCUGCAGAACACCGGAGGCGAAGGCGGAUCCCUGGAACAUUACUGACGCUCAGGCACGAAAGUCGGGGGAGCAA